UACAUUUUAGUAUAUUUGUACAAAGAUUUUUGAGAUCUUGAGAAAUGGAUAAAAUUCUAUUAAAUGUAA
RNAcentral lists this transfer RNA (69 nucleotides) under Basilepta melanopus. Its description in RNAcentral is "tRNA-Gln". The record is from RNAcentral. Lineage: Eukaryota; Metazoa; Arthropoda; Insecta; Coleoptera; Chrysomelidae.